CAAUUUUCACUUUAGGAAGUAAGAGAGGUCAGGUUGAACUGGUGCGAGGAAGCAUGACAAGUGGGCUGGUUGGGUCCAGGGGAUCGGAACUGGGUCGAGUCAAGUCAUUCCUAUCUAGACCGGAUUGGAUUGGGCCGCUUCGGUCUACUUUUUCCAUGGAUCCGACUCACUUUUCCUCAAAUGGAUCGCCCUUCAUAAAGGGUGAAAACCUUAAGCCAUUUGUGCCGCUCGGAAUGGGAGGCAAACCUCCCUUUUCACAUGUGUUCACUGGCUGUUUCAGCCGGUCUUCUGAGGAUGUCUGAAACCCUAAACCAUUCGCCUCGCUCGGGAGGGGAAGCCGGCCUCUCUCCUCACACGUAUCUGCCGACGGCUUCAACCAUUCUUCUAAGGGCGCCCCCUGAAGCUGCUCCAUGAUGGUGUUCAAUUGUUGGCGAAAUUCCUUCUUCAUUUCGUACACCUCUUCCAUGAAGGAGGUUGUGACUUUGGCAAAGGAAUCGGCCAGUUCCUGCUUUAAUACCAAAUUUUUAAAUACCUUUGCCAUGAUACUGACCUGUAAAUGAAGAAGAAGAAGAAAAGGGAGAAAAGGGAGAUUCGACAAAGAAGAAGACUAAAA
This is a long non-coding RNA of Carica papaya (papaya), 613 nucleotides long. RefSeq lists it as uncharacterized. The record is from RefSeq and is a predicted model, not a curated record. NCBI's taxonomy places the organism in Eukaryota, Viridiplantae, Streptophyta, Magnoliopsida, Brassicales, Caricaceae.